RNAcentral lists this transfer RNA (90 nucleotides) under Candidatus Liptonbacteria bacterium. Its description in RNAcentral is "tRNA-Ser". It matches the Rfam family "tRNA". From Rfam's summary of the family: Transfer RNA (tRNA) molecules are approximately 80 nucleotides in length. Their secondary structure includes four short double-helical elements and three loops (D, anti-codon, and T loops). Further hydrogen bonds mediate the characteristic L-shaped molecular structure. tRNAs have two regions of fundamental functional importance: the anti-codon, which is responsible for specific mRNA codon recognition, and the 3' end, to which the tRNAs corresponding amino acid is attached (by aminoacyl-tRNA synthetases). tRNAs cope with the degeneracy of the genetic code in two manners: having more than one tRNA (with a specific anti-codon) for a particular amino acid; and 'wobble' base-pairing, i.e. permitting non-standard base-pairing at the 3rd anti-codon position. Lineage: Bacteria; Candidatus Liptoniibacteriota. The record is from RNAcentral.
GGAGGGGUGUCAGAGUGGCCUAAUGAAACGGCUUGGAAAGCCGUGUCCCUUUACCGGGACCCGUGGGUUCGAAUCCCACCCCCUCCGCCA